This 223-nucleotide long non-coding RNA is filed under the name Elaeis guineensis (African oil palm). RNAcentral describes it as "long non-coding RNA (EGUI_LNC010630)". Lineage: Eukaryota; Viridiplantae; Streptophyta; Magnoliopsida; Arecales; Arecaceae. The record is from RNAcentral.
CUCGUCCUUCAAAGCACAUGGGGAUUGGGAAUAGUGGGAUGCCUUGGCUGGACUUCGUGUGAUGGCCUUAGACAAUUCAACAAGAAUCAUGUUGUUGUAUUUGUUUAUUGGCAUAAAGAAUUUUCCCUUCUUUUUUAAUGGCUUCCUAACACUCUAGUUUCUUAUCCAAUCUUGUUUACUACAAGUCAUUAACAAAUCGGACCUUUUGUACAAAAAGAACAAU